RNAcentral lists this ribosomal RNA (1098 nucleotides) under uncultured bacterium. RNAcentral's name for it is "bacterial SSU rRNA". It matches the Rfam family "Bacterial small subunit ribosomal RNA", at positions 364 to 1482 of the family's 1533-position model. The record is from RNAcentral.
UGGCCAAUUGGGGGGACCCUUGAUGCAGCGAUCGCCGCUGGAGGGAGAGUUUCGAUUGUUAAACCUUCUGUUCUUGUGGGACCGAUUAUGAACGGUACCACAGGAGGAAGCAUGGGCUACUACGUGCCAGCAGCCGCCGGUUAUUACGUAGAUGGCCAGCGUUGUUCCGGGAAUUACUGGGUGUAAAGGGGAGUUGUAGGNGGGAUCAUAAGUUGNGUGUGAAAUGCAGGGGCUCAACCNNGANCUGCGCGCAAAACUGUGGUUCUNNAGUGAAGUAGAGGCAGGCGGANUUUCCCGGUGUAGCGGUGGANUGCGUAGAUAUCGGGAGGAACACCAGUGGCGNNGCGGCCUGUUGGGCUUUUACUGACGCUGAGGCUCGAAAGCAUGGGGAGCAAACAGGAUUAGAUACCCUGGUAGUCCAUGCCGUAAACGAUGAUUACUAGGUGUGGGGGGAUAACCCCCUCCGUGCCGGAGUUAACACAAUAAGUAAUCCACCUGGGGAGUACGACCGCAAGGUUGAAACUCAAAGGAAUUGACGGGGGCCCGCACAAGCAGUGGAGUAUGUGGUUUAAUUCGAAGCAACGCGAAAAACCUUACCAGGUCUUGACAUCUAUCGCUAUCCCAAGAGAUUGGGAGUUCCCUUCGGGGACGGUAAGACAGGUGGUGCAUGGUUGUCGUCAGCUCGUGUCGUGAGAUGUUGGGUUAAGUCCCGCAACGAGCGCAACCCUUACUGUUAGUUGCUACGCAAGAGCACUCUAACGGGACUGCCGUUGACAAAACGGAGGAAGGUGGGGAUGACGUCAAAUCAUCAUGCCCUUUAUGACCUGGGCUACACACGUACUACAAUGGCCGCUAACAAUGAGCAGCAAAACCGCGAGGUGGAGCGAAUCUAUAAAAGCGGUCUCAGUUCGGAUUGCAGGCUGCAACUCGCCUGCAUGAAGUCGGAAUUGCUAGUAAUCGCGGAUCAGCAUGCCGCGGUGAAUACGUUCCCGGGCCUUGUACACACCGCCCGUCACACCAUGAGAGCCGGUAACACCCGAAGUCAGUAGUCUAACCGCAAGGGGGACGCUGCCGAAGGUGGGGCUGGUGAUUGGGGUG